This 446-nucleotide ribosomal RNA is filed under the name uncultured bacterium. Its description in RNAcentral is "partial 16S ribosomal RNA". It matches the Rfam family "Bacterial small subunit ribosomal RNA", at positions 338 to 795 of the family's 1533-position model. The record is from RNAcentral.
CCUACGGGUGGCAGCAGUCGAGAAUCAUUCACAAUGGGGGAAACCCUGAUGGUGCGACGCCGCGUGGGGGAAUGAAGGUCUUCGGAUUGUAAACCCCUGUCAUGUGGGAGCAAAUUAAAAAGAUAGUACCACAAGAGGAAGAGACGGCUAACUCUGUGCCAGCAGCCGCGGUAAUACAGAGGUCUCAAGCGUUGUUCGGAAUCACUGGGUGUAAAGGGUGGGUAGGCUGUUUCGUAAGUCGGGUGUGAAAGGCGCGGGCUCAACCCGCGGACGGCACAUGAUACUGCGAGACUAGAGUAAUGGAGGGGGAACCGGAAUUCUCGGUGUAGCAGUGAAAUGCGUAGAUAUCGAGAGGAACACUCGUGGCGAAGGCGGGUUCCUGGACAUUAACUGACGCUGAGGCACGAAGGCCAGGGGAGCGAAAGGGAUUAGAUACCCCUGUAGUC